GAGUUUGAUCGUGGCUCAGGACGAACGCUGGCGGCAUGCCUAAUACAUGCAAGUCGAACGCACGAAGUUGAAAAGCUUGCUUUUCGACCAAGUGAGUGGCGGACGGGUGAGUAACACGUGGGUAACCUGCCCAUAAGAGGGGGAUAACAUUCGGAAACGGAUGCUAAUACCGCAUAUUUCAAGUGACCGCAUGGUCGCUUGAUGAAAGGUGGCUUCGGCUACCACUUAUGGAUGGACCCGCGGUGCAUUAGUUAGUUGGUGAGGUAAUGGCUCACCAAGACCAUGAUGCAUAGCCGACCUGAGAGGGUGAUCGGCCACACUGGGACUGAGACACGGCCCAGACUCCUACGGGAGGCAGCAGUAGGGAAUCUUCCGCAAUGGACGAAAGUCUGACGGAGCAAUGCCGCGUGAGUGAAGAAGGUUUUCGGAUCGUAAAACUCUGUUGUUAGAGAAGAACAAGGAUGAGAGUAACUGCUCAUCCCCUGACGGUAUCUAACCAGAAAGCCAC
RNAcentral lists this ribosomal RNA (508 nucleotides) under uncultured Bacillus sp. RNAcentral describes it as "bacterial SSU rRNA". It matches the Rfam family "Bacterial small subunit ribosomal RNA", at positions 9 to 494 of the family's 1533-position model. The record is from RNAcentral. Lineage: Bacteria; Bacillati; Bacillota; Bacilli; Caryophanales; Bacillaceae.